Molecule: long non-coding RNA, 386 nt
Filed under: Heterocephalus glaber (naked mole-rat)
Lineage: Eukaryota; Metazoa; Chordata; Mammalia; Rodentia; Bathyergidae
Description: lncRNA (ENSHGLG00100030812.2)
Source: RNAcentral
UUCAGUGUUGAUGCAUUGCCAUGACAGCUUCGAGCAUUUGAAUUUGAAACGCACACACCAUUGUGCAGGGUUCCUGAUGCCUCCUCCUGCUCUUGCCUGACCCCCUGAAAUCUAGGGGGCUCUGAGCUCCACGUGUCUCCGUGUCUCAGAAAGGAAGCCACUGUCCCCCUUCACACUGUGGCCCAGGACAAAGGGUGCCAGAACAGACCAGAACUUGACCUGAAGGCUACAGCCAAGUCCAGGAACAGACCAUGUCUUCUGCUCCUCUAAUGGGACUGACUCUGGCCCUGACUCUGUGGAACCUGUUCCUCAAGCAUCCAUCGCCACAGUCUCUUGACUCUUAGCUCCAGCUCAAAGGAGACAAUUUGAUAGCCAGUGCCCAGUGG